RNAcentral lists this ribosomal RNA (500 nucleotides) under uncultured bacterium. Its description in RNAcentral is "partial 16S ribosomal RNA". It matches the Rfam family "Bacterial small subunit ribosomal RNA", at positions 30 to 523 of the family's 1533-position model. The record is from RNAcentral.
AUUGAACGCUGGCGGCAUGCCUUACACAUGCAAGUCGAACGGCAGCACGGGAGCAAUCCUGGUGGCGAGUGGCGAACGGGUGAGUAAAGUAUCGGAACGUGCCCAGUCGUGGGGGAUAACGUAGCGAAAGUUACGCUAAUACCGCAUACGAUCUAUGGAUGAAAGCGGGGGAUCGCAAGACCUCGCGCGAUUGGAGCGGCCGAUAUCAGAUUAGGUAGUUGGUGGGGUAAAGGCUCACCAAGCCGACGAUCUGUAGCUGGUCUGAGAGGACGACCAGCCACACUGGAACGGAGACACGGUCCAGACUCCUACGGGAGGCAGCAGUGGGGAAUUUUGGACAAUGGGCGAAAGCCUGAUCCAGCCAUUCCGCGUGCAGGAUGAAGGCCCUCGGGUUGUAAACUGCUUUUGUACGGAACGAAAAGGUCUCUCUUAAUACGGGGGGCUCAUGACGGUACCGUAAGAAUAAGCACCGGCUAACUACGUGCCAGCCGCCGCUGUAA